AAAUUAACAUGGGGAAACUCAUCAUGCCUAUGCAAAUGGACAGGUACUACAAGAUAGGUGAGGAGAUCUGAAGUAACCACAUGAAAAGUGAUAGAUGUUUGACAUAUUCUGGACUAUGAGUAACUGCAAAAGGAGAAGCACUCUGAUGAGCUAAAUCUUUAACUGACAUGGAAGUGAGGAAUGGUUGACAUGUAGUUUACAAGAUGCAGUUGGAUUGUUAACGUGCUUGUGAUGAACACAACACCAAAUUUCCAAACAGAAAAAAUUACACCAAAGAGAACAGAUGGAGCUACAUAGCUUACAUAUAUGCUUCUGGAGCUAUUUGAGAAAAUGAUCCUGCUACUGCAAGUGAAAAAGUUAUCCUGAAUCUUGGCUGAAAUGGGUUACAGAGCAGCAAAAUCAU
RNAcentral lists this long non-coding RNA (403 nucleotides) under Anas platyrhynchos platyrhynchos (common mallard). Its description in RNAcentral is "lncRNA (ENSAPLG00000024055.1)". The record is from RNAcentral. Lineage: Eukaryota; Metazoa; Chordata; Aves; Anseriformes; Anatidae.